Molecule: ribosomal RNA, 380 nt
Filed under: uncultured cyanobacterium
Lineage: Bacteria; Bacillati; Cyanobacteriota
Description: bacterial SSU rRNA
Rfam family: Bacterial small subunit ribosomal RNA
Source: RNAcentral
CGCAAGCCUGACGGAGCAAGACCGCGUGGGGGAGGAAUGCCUUAGGGUUGUAAACCCCUUUUAUCUGGGAAGAACAAAAUGACGGUACCAGAUGAAUAAGCCUCGGCUAACUCCGUGCCAGCAGCCGCGGUAAUACGGAGGAGGCAAGCGUUAUCCGGAUUUAUUGGGCGUAAAGCGUUCGCAGGUGGUUCGUCAAGUCUGCUGUUGAAGCGUGCAGCUCAACUGCAUAUAGGCAGUGGAAACUGUUGAACUAGAGUAUGGUAGGGGUAGGGGGAAUUCCCAGUGUAGCGGUGAAAUGCGUAGAGAUCGGGAAGAACAUCGGUGGCGAAAGCGCUCUACUGGACGGCAACUGACACUCAGGGACGAAAGCUAGGGGAGCG